This is a long non-coding RNA of Bos indicus x Bos taurus (hybrid cattle), 1457 nucleotides long. NCBI's taxonomy places the organism in Eukaryota, Metazoa, Chordata, Mammalia, Artiodactyla, Bovidae. The record is from Ensembl.
AUGUCAUUGUUACUCUUGAUCCUUUCUGUGAAGACUGCAUUGUUCUGUCUGAAAGCUUGUUCUUCAUUAGUCCCAGCAUCUGCACAGGUGCCUGAGAUCAUCAAGCACGUUUACCACCACAUGCCCAGUGCCACGGACGCCACGGCCCAGGAGACCAUCUGGAAGGUGCUCCACGUGCUGGCCCAGGCCUACACGGAUGAGGUGGUCCUGACACUCUUCGAGAUGGACGAGCAGUCCCAGAGGUGGGUGGGGUCCCCGGGGCGGCAGACAAGUCCCAGACUCUGCUGAUCUGCUUAUUCUUAAAAUAUGAGCUUCCUGGGUGGCUCAGUGGUAAAGAACCCACCUGCCAAUGCAGGAGAUGUGAGUUCGAUUGCUGGGUCGGGAAGAUCCCUUGGAGGAGGGCAUGGCAACCCACUCCAGUGUUCCUGCCUGGAGAAUCCCAUGAGCAGAGGAGCCUGGCGGGCUACAGUCCACUGGGUCACACAGAGUCAAGCACGACUGAGUGACGAAACGACAGCACAGCUGACUUACAGGUACUGAUGGUGUUCUUGGUGUCGUGGCGUCUCACUCAUGGAGCUGGCACUUGGAGGUUCUUUCAGUCUGCAAACACUUAUCUUUUAUGUCUGGGAAUUUUUCUCAAAUAGUUUCUUUGAUCAUUUCCUCUCUUUCCCCUGAUGUCCCACCUCCCACCUUUGAACACUCUAUUAUUUAAUGUUGGAUUUCCUGGAUAGAAUCAUUAAUUUCCUUUUUUCUUCUCACAUUCCAUAUUUUAUCUAUUUAUUCUGCUUUCUACCCCUUCCCCCAGAGGCUCAGAUGAUCAAGAAUCCACCUUCAAUGUGGGAGACCUGGGUUCGAUCCCUGGGUCGGGAAGAUCCCCCGGAGGACGGCAUGGCAACCCACUCCAGUAUUAUUACGUGGAGAAUCCCAUGGACAGAAGAGCCUGGCCGGCUACAGUCCAUGGGGUCGCAGAGAGUCGGACACGACUGAGAGACUAAGCACAACAAUUCUGCUUUCUGGGAUGUUUCCCCAACUUUAUCUUCUCGCCUCUUACUGAGUUUGUUUGUUUGUUUAAAUAUUCACUUAUCUGGCUGCUCCAGGUCUUAGUUGCAGCAUGUGGGGUCCCAGUUGUGACAUGUGGGGUCUAGUUCCCUAACCAGAGACUGAACCCAGAACCCUGCAUUGGGAGCUCGGAAUCGUAGCCACUGGCCCACUGGGGAAGUCUCUGACCUUGUGUUGAGUUUUUAAUUUGUCAUGCCAUACUAUUUUAAUUUUCAAAAACUCUUAUUUUCUUCCCUGAAUUUCUCUUAUCCUUUAACAGUAUCUUAUUCUCGUUUCAUGGAUACCAAUGAUACUAAUUUUACAAUUUGGGGGUGUCUUUUUUUUUUUUAGUUUUCUCUUUCAUAUAUUUAAGAGUGGGACACAAUAAAAGUUGGCUGGAAGCUCUGUACCUGGGGAUG